AGAGUUUGAUCCUGGCUCAGGACGAACGCUGGCGGCGUGCUUAACACAUGCAAGUCGAGCGGUGUUAAGCGAGAAGUUUACUUUUUGCCUAACCUAGUGGCGGACGGGUGAGUAACGCGUGGAUAACCUGCCCAUUAGACCGGGAUAACGCUGGGAAACCGGUGCUAAUACCGGAUACGUUCAUCCGAUCGCCUGAUCGGAUGAAGAAAGGAGCAAUCCGCUAAUGGAUGGGUCCGCGUCCCAUUAGCUAGUUGGUGGGGUAACGGCCCACCAAGGCAACGAUGGGUAGCCGGCCUGAGAGGGCGACCGGCCACACUGGAACUGAGACACGGUCCAGACUCCUACGGGAGGCAGCAGUGGGGAAUCUUCCCCAAUGGGCGAAAGCCUGACGGAGCAACGCCGCGUGAGCGAAGAAGGUCUUCGGGUUGUAAAGCUCUGUCCAGGGGGAAGAAGGAUGACGGUACCCCUGGAGGAAGCCCCGGCUAACUACGUGCCAGCAGCCGCGGUAAAACGUAGGGGGCAAGCGUUGUCCGGAAUUACUGGGCGUAAAGGGCGUGUAGGCGGCGAAGCAAGUCAGGAGUGAAACCCAGCGGCUCAACCGCUGGCUGGUUUCUGAAACUGUAUUGCUUGAGUGCAGGAGAGGGGAGUGGAAUUCCCAGUGUAGCGGUGAAAUGCGUAGAUAUUGGGAGGAACACCAGUGGCGAAAGCGGCUCCCUGGCCUGUAACUGACGCUGAGGCGCGAAAGCGUGGGUAGCAAACAGGAUUAGAUACCCUGGUAGUCCACGCCGUAAACGAUGGGUGCUAGGUGUUGGGGGUAUCGACCCCCGCAGUGCCGCAGUUAACGCAAUAAGCACNCCUCCUGGGGAGUACGUCCGCAAGCCGGAAACUCAAAGGAAUUGACGGGGGCCCCCACAAGCGGUGGAGCAUGUGGUUUAAUUCGACGCAACGCGAAGAACCUUACCAGGUCUUGACAUCNCCCGCCAGCCAUGAAACAUGGUCUUUCCCUUACGGGAACGGGUAGACAGGUGGUGCAUGGUUGUCGCCAGCUCGUGUCGUGAGAUGUUGGGUUNNGUCCCGCANCGAGCGCAACCCCUACCUCCCAUUGCCAGCNCGUAACGGUGGGNACUCUAAAGGGACUGCCGUUGACAAAACGGAGGAAGGUGGGGAUNANNUNNNNNNNNNNNNNNNNNNNNNNNNNNNNNNNNNNNCGUGCUACAAUGGCCGGUAACAGACGGAGNCGAACNGCGAGGUGGAGCAAANCCCACAAAGCCGGUCCCAGUUCGGANUGCAGGCUGCAACUCGCCUNCAUGAAGUCGGAAUCGCUAGUAAUCGCAGGUCAGCAUACUGCGGUGAAUACGUUCCCGGGCCUUGUACACACCGCCCGUCACACCACGNAAGUCGUCAACACCCGAAGCCGGUGANCUAACCUUAUAGGAGGCAGCCGUCGAAGGUGGGGUCGGUAAUUGGGGUGAANUCGUAACAAGGUANCCGUAUCGG
This 1497-nucleotide ribosomal RNA is filed under the name Desulfoscipio geothermicus. Its description in RNAcentral is "Desulfallas geothermicus partial 16S ribosomal RNA". It matches the Rfam family "Bacterial small subunit ribosomal RNA". The record is from RNAcentral. RNAcentral also lists the same sequence under 1 other name. Lineage: Bacteria; Bacillati; Bacillota; Clostridia; Eubacteriales; Desulfallaceae.